UAGGGAAUCUUCCACAAUGGACGCAAGUCUGAUGGAGCAACGCCGCGUGAGUGAAGAAGGUUUUCGGACCGUAAAGCUCUGUUGUUGGUGAAGAAGGAUAGAGGUAGUAACUGGCCCUUUAUUUGACGGUAAUCAACCAGAAAGUCACGGCUAACUACGUGCCAGCAGCCGCGGUAAUACGUAGGUGGCAAGCGUUGUCCGGAUUUAUUGGGCGUAAAGCGAGCGCAGGCGGAAGAAUAAGUCAGAUGUGAAAGCCCUCGGCUUAACCGAGGAAUUGCAUCGGAAACUGUUUUCUUGAGUGCAGAAGAGGAGAGUAGAACUCCAUGUGUAGCGGUGGAAUGCGUAGAUAUAUGGAAGAAUACCAGUGGCGAAGGCGGCUCUCUGGUCUGCAACUGACGCUGAGGCUCGAAAGCAUGGUAGCGAACAGGAUUAGAUACC
RNAcentral lists this ribosomal RNA (438 nucleotides) under uncultured bacterium. RNAcentral's name for it is "partial 16S ribosomal RNA". It matches the Rfam family "Bacterial small subunit ribosomal RNA", at positions 355 to 786 of the family's 1533-position model. The record is from RNAcentral.